UACGGAGGGAGCUAGCGUUGUUCGGAAUUACUGGGCGUAAAGCGCACGUAGGCGGCUUUUCAAGUCAGGGUGAAAUACCCGGGGCGUCAACCUCGGAACUGCCCUUGAAACUGGAAGGCUAGAAUCCUGGAGAGGCGAGUGGAAUUCCGAGUGUAGAGGUGAAAUUCGUAGAUAUUCGGAAGAACACCAGUGGCGAAGGCGACUCGCUGGACAGGUAUUGACGCUGAGGUGCGAAAGCGUGGGGAGCAAACAGGAUUAGAACCA
RNAcentral lists this ribosomal RNA (264 nucleotides) under uncultured bacterium. RNAcentral's name for it is "partial 16S ribosomal RNA". It matches the Rfam family "Bacterial small subunit ribosomal RNA", at positions 524 to 786 of the family's 1533-position model. The record is from RNAcentral.